RNAcentral lists this transfer RNA (74 nucleotides) under Caudoviricetes sp. RNAcentral's name for it is "tRNA-Trp". It matches the Rfam family "tRNA". From Rfam's summary of the family: Transfer RNA (tRNA) molecules are approximately 80 nucleotides in length. Their secondary structure includes four short double-helical elements and three loops (D, anti-codon, and T loops). Further hydrogen bonds mediate the characteristic L-shaped molecular structure. tRNAs have two regions of fundamental functional importance: the anti-codon, which is responsible for specific mRNA codon recognition, and the 3' end, to which the tRNAs corresponding amino acid is attached (by aminoacyl-tRNA synthetases). tRNAs cope with the degeneracy of the genetic code in two manners: having more than one tRNA (with a specific anti-codon) for a particular amino acid; and 'wobble' base-pairing, i.e. permitting non-standard base-pairing at the 3rd anti-codon position. The record is from RNAcentral. Lineage: Duplodnaviria; Heunggongvirae; Uroviricota; Caudoviricetes.
GUGGGCUUAGUUUAAUGGUAGAACAAUGCUCUCCAAAAGCAUUAGUGGUAGUUCAACUCUAUCAGCCUAUGCCA